GACGAACGCUGGCGGCGUGCUUAACACAUGCAAGUCGAACGGAAAGGGCCUGCUUUUGUGCGGUGCUAGAGCGGCGAACGGGUGAGUAACACGUGAGUAACCUGCCCUUGACUUUGGGAUAACUUCAGGAAAUUGGAGCUAAUACCGGAUAGGAUCUCCUUCUGCAUGGUGGGGGUUGGAAAGUUUAGGUGGUUGGAGAUGGACUCGGGGCUUAUCAGCUUGUUGGUGGGGUAGUGGCUUACCAAGGCUGUGACGGGUAGCCGGCCUGAGAGGGUGACCGGCGACAAUGGGACUGCGGGAGGGCGCAGACAACUACGGGAGGCAGCGGUGGGGAAUAUUGCGCAAUGGGCGGAAGUCGGAGGCAGCGACUCAGAGUGCGGAAUGACGGCCUUCGGGUGAUGAACCGCUGUCGGCUGUAACGAAGAGUGGGUGACGGUAAUGGAUAAAGAAGCACCGGCUAACUACGUG
Molecule: ribosomal RNA, 468 nt
Filed under: uncultured bacterium
Lineage: Bacteria
Description: partial 16S ribosomal RNA
Rfam family: Bacterial small subunit ribosomal RNA
Source: RNAcentral